Bufo bufo (common toad) is the source of this 136-nucleotide small nucleolar RNA. RefSeq annotates it as small nucleolar RNA SNORA29. The record is from RefSeq and is a predicted model, not a curated record. NCBI's taxonomy places the organism in Eukaryota, Metazoa, Chordata, Amphibia, Anura, Bufonidae. The transcript has a single exon.
AGCCCCAUUUUAGUACCACGUCUUCUUUUCUCAGAAUAAGUGGCUAUGCUAAUGGGGUAGAGCAGCAGCUGCUAUUGUCUGAAGGGGAAUGUGUGUCGGUCACCUUCUCCAAUAUGAAAUAGCAGAACAUUCUUCU